AGGAGAUGAAAGCGAAUCAUCCUCACUUAUUUGAGGAUUGAGCCGAGGUAUGAGUUUAGAGUUUAAAUUUGGAUGAAUUUAAUAUCAUUGAGUUCGUUUCGAGGACGAAACUCUUUUAAGGUGGGGAGAAUGUAAGGGAAGUAAAUUCUCGAAAUCCGGGGAUUAGACUUCGUUGGGAAGCGACUGAUUGUCGAGUGAGUAAGCUUCGGAAAGUCCGAAGGUGGUUAUAAUGCAUAAAGUGCAUUGAGGAAGUGUCCGCGAGAGUACCAGUGCGAAAGCU
Molecule: long non-coding RNA, 280 nt
Filed under: Ananas comosus (pineapple)
Lineage: Eukaryota; Viridiplantae; Streptophyta; Magnoliopsida; Poales; Bromeliaceae
Description: long non-coding RNA (ACOM_LNC043759)
Source: RNAcentral